Molecule: small RNA, 132 nt
Filed under: chicken gut metagenome
Description: Clostridiales-1 RNA
Rfam family: Clostridiales-1 RNA
Source: RNAcentral
AUGCAGACCGCGUGCUUGCACGCAGGAAUGCAUCGGCAUUUGACAGGCUGACCGUUAUGAGGAAGAAGGGCGCCAGCCCGGAUUCCGAAUAACGUCAGCGAUUGCGGGAGUGCGCAGCACGGAGCAAUCGAA